CUGCCUACAUAUAUUGUUUGGAUGGAGCUCUAACAUCAGAGCAGGUUUCCAGAGUUACAAUAACAGAAAGGAAUGCAUUAGGAUAAUUAGUGUCGUCUCUAGUUCCCCCGGGUUGGGCCCCCUCAGCGGGGAAGGCCCUCUCCAAAUGAAUGAAAAGAAACCAAUUCAAAUCAAGCUGCAUAGGUUAUCAGAUGAAAAUAACACAUAUCCCCAUUAAAAUCAAUAGUGAUUGCAUUAUCACAGAGGGUAUUUUCUCUGAUCUGAUGCAGCGCGAGGCACAACAAGCUAUGUAUAAAUAGGGCAUGUUUGCCCUGCCGACUACGCCAGUUAUUCUGACGGGGGAAAUGUACUCUACAUACUUGUGUUUCUUGCUUUUAGAAAUACCUCUCUUGAACAGAUCUAAUCAUGUAAGACAGGAGUUUACACCUGCAGUUGCAUUUGCUCCAUGUGAAUAUAAGACAUGGCAGAUAAUGUUUGUACAAUGUGAGCUGUGCUGUAUCCCACAACCUAUUAGGGCCCGGGGCAAUACUCGUUAGUAUCAUGGCAAGAAAACAAAACAAAAAGUGGAUUUAACUUCUUUAGGAAAACAGCCCUAAUGUUGGAAACAUCAUAAUGUUGUCAUCCAGAGUCACAUGUAUUUAUUUUCCAAGCUAUAGCACACAGUAUUUUAUAUAGAGCAGGUUUUUAAAGGACCAAAGAGUCUGUGUCAUGUUUUCAUUACUGCCACGGAAAAAAUAUUGCGAUACUGGUUUUGUUCCGGCCCUACUACCUAUGGAUCCAUUCGUUGACUCACUUCAAAUGGCUUCUAAGAGGUUCUAAUACGGUGCUUUUCUAUGUCCAAUAGUUUACAGUUGUUUUGACUCAUUCUGGAUGGUCCACUGUUAACUCAUGUCUAUGGAAAUAAAAUGAAUGUAAUAACAGAUUGAAAUGUAAAAAUAGUAAUAAUAACCUCUUCUACUGAGGAACAGCUUGUGAACCAUCAGAAAAUCAUCUAAAACAACAAUCACCGUUUCAAGAAUCAAAAGGAGACAUUUUUCAAAUUAAAUGAGGAUUUUGUGAGGGAAUGGUUUAUCAAAAGAGUAAAUCCAUUUUUAAAUGAAUGUCUUUUUGGUUUCACUAACUGUUCAUUAGCGAGUGUUGAGAAGUAUGUAAUAGGAACAUUUUCCAUCUCUGAACAAUAUUCUUCAAUUAGACCUUUGGAAUACUUGUACCGCAUGUAAGCUGUGUUCUUGACACGCAUUUCUGCACACAUGCCAGAAGUAACACAACCAAUGCCAGUCUUUCCAACACUGGCUCAAAAAACAAGAAUUCUGAGCGCUUAUCUUUAUUAAAAGCUGUAUAUCUGAAAUGGGGACAUUUGCACGACAGACUGCUACAGACUGUUAUGUAGCCUGUGCGUUGUUGUUGCCGUGAAACCUGGAUCGAGCGCACUUCCAGGCGCAGAUUGAUAAAGCAAUCUGCAUAUUUUACACAUAAACAGGAAGCAAAUGUUUGGUGGGAAUUGUAGGGCACUGCAUCUACACCUAGAAGAAGCCAUACACAACAUGACCCAUUCUGUAAGGCUGAGAAGCAAACUGAGAAGAGUGGAAGAUGCUGAAUAUAUCACGGCCAGAGCUUUAAAACUUGCCUCAAAGUGCUUCUAAAGUUACGUUUUUUUCUCUCGUUUUUAUUUUAGAUUUUUGAGUCAUAUAAUUUGAUGUACAGACCAGAUGGCAUGGGAAAUGGACAUUCUCAGUGUAAUAAAUGGAAUCAUCUCAACAAACUACGAGUUCGGAGUGAAUCCUCACUUUAAGAUGCAGCAUUCAGAACAGCAUUCAGAACAGUCGUUUAGCCGAGGUCAGGUGUUGUUCGGCUAAAUGAGGUCAGGUGUUGUUCAGCUAAACGAGGUCAGGUGUUGUUCGGCUGAAUGAGGUCAGGUGUUGUUCAGCUAAACGAGGUCAGGUGUUGUUCGGCUGAAUGAGGUCAGGUGUUGUUCAGCUAAACGAGGUCAGGCGUUGUUCGGCUGAAC
RNAcentral lists this long non-coding RNA (2008 nucleotides) under Salmo salar (Atlantic salmon). RNAcentral describes it as "lncRNA (ENSSSAG00000082938.1)". Lineage: Eukaryota; Metazoa; Chordata; Actinopteri; Salmoniformes; Salmonidae. The record is from RNAcentral.